This 708-nucleotide ribosomal RNA is filed under the name uncultured Planctomycetales bacterium. RNAcentral describes it as "bacterial SSU rRNA". It matches the Rfam family "Bacterial small subunit ribosomal RNA", at positions 94 to 811 of the family's 1533-position model. Lineage: Bacteria; Pseudomonadati; Planctomycetota; Planctomycetia; Planctomycetales. The record is from RNAcentral.
AGCGGCGUAAGGGACAGGAAUACGUAGAUUACCUACCCUCGGGACCUGGAUAGCUGCGGGAAACUGCAGGUAAUACGGGAUAACGUCUCCGGACCAAAGGUGUGAUUCCGCCGGAGGAUGGGUCUGCGUCCUAUUAGCUAGUUGGUAGGGUAAUGGCCUACCAAGGCAAUGAUGGGUAGCAGGUGUGAGAGCACGACCUGCGUCACUGGGACUGAGACACUGCCCAGACACCUACGGGUGGCUGCAGUCGAGGAUUUUCGUCAAUGGGCGCAAGCCUGAACGAGCGACGCCGCGUGCGGGAUGAAGGCCUUCGGGUCGUAAACCGCUGUCAGUGGGGAGAAAAUUUGCCGAGGUUCUCCUCGGCAAUUGAUCUAUCCGCAGAGGAAGUGUGGGCUAAGCUCGUGCCAGCAGCCGCGGUAAGACGAGCCACACGAACGUUAUUCGGAAUCACUGGGCUUAAAGGGUGCGUAGGCUGCGCAGAAAGUUGGGUGUGAAAUCCUACAGCUUAACUGUAGAAGUGCACUCAAAACUACUGUGCUCGAGGGAGACAGAGGUAAGCGGAACUGAGGGUGGAGCGGUGAAAUGCGUUGAUAUCCUCAGGAACACCGGUGGCGAAAGCGGCUUACUGGGUCUCUUCUGACGCUGAGGCACGAAAGCUAGGGGAGCAAACGGGAUUAGAUACCCCGGUAGUCCUAGCCGUAAACGAUG